UACGUAGGGGGCAAGCGUUGUCCGGAUUUAUUGGGCGUAAAGAGCUCGUAGGCGGUUCGAUAAGUCGGAUGUGAAAUCUCCACGCUUAACGUGGAGGGUGCAUUCGAUACUGUCGUGACUAGAGUCCGGUAGAGGAGUGUGGAAUUCCUGGUGUAGCGGUGAAAUGCGCAGAUAUCAGGAGGAACACCAAUGGCGAAGGCAGCUCACUGGGACGGUACUGACGCUGAGACGCGAAAGCGUGGGGAGCAAACAGG
Molecule: ribosomal RNA, 254 nt
Filed under: uncultured bacterium
Lineage: Bacteria
Description: partial 16S ribosomal RNA
Rfam family: Bacterial small subunit ribosomal RNA
Source: RNAcentral